RNAcentral lists this long non-coding RNA (436 nucleotides) under Dromaius novaehollandiae (emu). Its description in RNAcentral is "lncRNA (ENSDNVG00000010623.1)". Lineage: Eukaryota; Metazoa; Chordata; Aves; Casuariiformes; Dromaiidae. The record is from RNAcentral.
UAAUUUUGAUUUACCCACAGUGUAUCCCAUUGCAUGUACUUUUUACUCCUUUGUCCCGAACUUGCUGAGUCUUGCUUUCAAAGUUUCUAGCUACUGAACUGCAGAGCAGAUGAAAAUCUCAUAAAUAUUCCCAUAUGGCAUAUUUGUAGAAAGAAGAUGGAUGUACAAGAUAGGGUUCCUUUUAUGUCUGUUGCCUGAGAAAAAUAGAACUAUGUUCUAUGCCCUGUGUAUUUACCUGUUGUUGAAGUAAAUAUCUCUUAUAAGCAUCUCAGGUUGGAGUUCAAAAUCCACUACUUAAUAAAACUGAAGAUCUUGGCUAUAUUUUUUCUUAGAUGCUCUGCCUCAGCUAUUUCAAAACUAUUUGUUCUUGUAAAAAUCACGGUCAAGAUUUGCAGAUUAAAAUGCUUGAAUCAAUAAAGUAACUGUAAGAAUUUCG